UUUUAUAUUCGGAGGUUUUUUCAGUUCAAAUUCAAGUUCUAGAACUUUGGUUUAUUAUUAGACUGCUCUCUUACUUGGAUGGAAGGGAAGAGAGAAAAACAGGUCUGUCUGCAACCAUUGUGUUCCACUCCAAUUCGGGGAUAGCCUCAGAAACGGUGUUUUAAAAUUAAAAUCUUACGAGACCCUGGCUGCUGCUGAGAUGACAGGAGAAUCUCCCUAGUGACUUUGGCAAAAGCCAGAAAAACAACCUGGGAAGACCUGAGGAGCAGCUUCUCGAACACAUCCUACUGGGCUGCUGUUAUCUUCAACAACUUUAUGUAGUUUUUAUGUUUUGGAAUUGUGAAAACAAUCAGUGAAUUGAUAUUUAUUAAAAACAACUAUUUGGGGUGGUGGGAAUGAACUGUUUUUUCACAGUUAAUUCAAUUAAAAUUU
Molecule: long non-coding RNA, 432 nt
Filed under: Mustela putorius furo (domestic ferret)
Lineage: Eukaryota; Metazoa; Chordata; Mammalia; Carnivora; Mustelidae
Description: lncRNA (ENSMPUG00000027691.1)
Source: RNAcentral